Molecule: long non-coding RNA, 258 nt
Filed under: Linum usitatissimum (flax)
Lineage: Eukaryota; Viridiplantae; Streptophyta; Magnoliopsida; Malpighiales; Linaceae
Description: long non-coding RNA (LUSI_LNC000624)
Source: RNAcentral
UAAGCAGUUAUUUUCUGUAUAUAAUUUUUAUUAAAAGAAAUCAACCAAACGAUCUGCAUAAAAAGCAAUUGUAAUUUAACAAAUCCUAAUUUAAAAAUAAGAACAAAAUUAUUUUUCAGAUAUCGCGGAAGUCAUUAAUGGCGUCCAAGCUCGACGCCGACGACGAAAUCGACGAGCUCCUCAGCGACCCCAAGAACAACGGAUCCGAAUAAUUAAAGAAUGCCGCCUGAUUAUUAGGACACAAAAACUGAUCCGCCG